GACGAACGCUGGCGGCGUGCUUAACACAUGCAAGUCGAACGGAAAGGCCCUGCUUUUGUGGGGUGCUCGAGUGGCGAACGGGUGAGUAACACGUGAGUAACCUGCCCUUGACUUUGGGAUAACUUCAGGAAACUGGGGCUAAUACCGGAUAGGAGCUCCUGCUGCAUGGUGGGGGUUGGAAAGUUUCGGCGGUUGGGGAUGGACUCGCGGCUUAUCAGCUUGUUGGUGGGGUAGUGGCUUACCAAGGCUUUGACGGGUAGCCGGCCUGAGAGGGUGACCGGCCACAUUGGGACUGAGGUACGGCCCAGACUGCUACGGGAGGCAACAGUGGGGAAUAUUGCACAAUGGGCGGAAGCCAGAUGCAGCAACGCCGCGUGCGGGAUGACGGCCUUCGGGUUGUAAACCGCUUUCGCCUGUGACGAAGCGUGAGUGACGGUAAUGGGUAAAGAAGCACCGGCUAACUACGUG
Molecule: ribosomal RNA, 468 nt
Filed under: uncultured bacterium
Lineage: Bacteria
Description: partial 16S ribosomal RNA
Rfam family: Bacterial small subunit ribosomal RNA
Source: RNAcentral